AUCUCAUCUCUGCCAUUUGGCUAAGAUCAAGUAUAGUAUCUGUUCUUAUGAGUUUAAUAUCUGAUACGUCCCUUUAUAUGAGGAACAUUCGUUAUAUGGAGUUUUAGAACAGGGAGCUGAAAGAAGAGCUUGAUCUGUCCACCUCGUGCAUUGACCUGGUAUUGUAGUGCCUCCAGGACUGGUGCAAAAAAA
This is a small nuclear RNA of Spea bombifrons (plains spadefoot toad), 192 nucleotides long. RefSeq annotates it as U2 spliceosomal RNA. NCBI's taxonomy places the organism in Eukaryota, Metazoa, Chordata, Amphibia, Anura, Pelobatidae. The record is from RefSeq and is a predicted model, not a curated record. The transcript has a single exon.